UACUUUGUGGAGAAAGGAGGUGAU
This 24-nucleotide non-coding RNA is filed under the name Mus musculus (house mouse). The record is from RNAcentral. Lineage: Eukaryota; Metazoa; Chordata; Mammalia; Rodentia; Muridae.